This 193-nucleotide ribosomal RNA is filed under the name Alpova alpestris. Its description in RNAcentral is "partial small subunit ribosomal RNA". Lineage: Eukaryota; Fungi; Basidiomycota; Agaricomycetes; Boletales; Melanogastraceae. The record is from RNAcentral.
AUUUCUUAAAUYGAAUAUAUAAUAUACGCUUAGAAAUUAUAUGUACUAUAAUAAUUAUUAUCAGUAACAGAUUUUUAAUUAUUAUUAAUUAACUGAUCUAAUUUAUAUAAACGUGAUUAGUUAAAUUUGUGAACCCAACGAAUUCAAUUUAGUAACAUCUCAAAAGUCAUAGCAAGGUAGCUUGUACUGGAAA